Ameiurus melas (black bullhead) is the source of this 73-nucleotide non-coding RNA. The record is from the annotation of a GenBank genome assembly. Lineage: Eukaryota; Metazoa; Chordata; Actinopteri; Siluriformes; Ictaluridae.
GGCACAGUGGCUUAGUGGUUAGCACAUUUGCCUCACAACUCUGGGGUUGAGGGUUCAAAUCCCGCUUCCGCCA